GCCGGUAGUGGCAGUUGGGCUCUGAUGGAAUUCCUGAAGAGGUCCCGUGGUGCACGCGUGCAUUCUAAAAAUAAAGUUUAUUCCUGCUUGUUAAGUGGCUUGUGAAUUGUGCCCAGCCAGACUGCGGCAUUUGGUGGCCUGGACGAGGACUGCUGCUCUUAGCUGGGGGCUGACAAUGCGUCCACCUUCCCCAGCCCCAGCUUACCCUCUGUAAAAGCAGGAGUGAUGGUCGCUGCCCCUCAGCCCUGAAGACGAUAAGGACUCGGAUAUGCUUGCUUGUCGUAAUUAUUGGCACUGGGCUUUAUACUUAAUUGAAAAGGUUCUGGCCUCACUCUCCCAGACUACUUGUCAGUGUUGCAAGUCCCUCGUUCCUGGUGACUGCUGGGGCCCAGGAUUAUGAAGCUUGCUGCAAUCAGUCUGUGGGUAUUAGCAGCCUCUUCACUGGUGGUUACUGUUUCCCAAAUACUCUGUGAAACUGGAAUAUGCUGAGUUGAAAAAGAAAACCUCAACUAGACUCUAACACAGCCUUGCUCAAGCAUCUAUUUUUCUCAAAGAAAACAAUCCUAGAAGCAUGUUUACACGUUUAAUUGUAAGAAAUAGUGUGUAUUUUGUGAAUGCAUGAUUCCAUUUGAUUUGGAGAUAUUUGUUCAUGUAGAAGAGAACAAUAAACCUAAGAAAGUAAAUAUCCUUAUAUGAAACAGUUUAAAUCUGACAGGAUGUAUUCUCACAGUGGUUGGAUCACCACUUUUGCACUUGACUUUUGAGUGCUUGUAAUUAAACGUUUGUGUUUCUUCAUUAA
This is a non-coding RNA of Ictidomys tridecemlineatus (thirteen-lined ground squirrel), 799 nucleotides long. The record is from RefSeq and is a predicted model, not a curated record. Lineage: Eukaryota; Metazoa; Chordata; Mammalia; Rodentia; Sciuridae.